Molecule: long non-coding RNA, 1039 nt
Organism: Raphanus sativus (radish)
Lineage: Eukaryota; Viridiplantae; Streptophyta; Magnoliopsida; Brassicales; Brassicaceae
Exons: 2
Source: RefSeq, a predicted model, not a curated record
UUCUCUUACCUUAGAACCUAGUCUAAAUCUGUUUCUAAGCCUUUUAGUUCCUCAGUGUUUCUUUCUCGCGUCACUUUAACUGAUUACCACCGUUCUAGUUCAUGUUCGUUGCGUAUGAGUUGACGCCAUAGUAGUUCCCUACUUCUGCUAUUCGUUUUGAUUUUAUACGAAGAUAUCUUUGUGUGUCUUCAAUCGUUACGAGUUUGCAGUUUAGGAAAAAUCUUGUCUGUAAUUUAUUUUAUCUAGACAGCCUAAGAUCUGGAAUGUCUUGUCUGAAAGUAGAUUUUUAAUUACUUUUGUAGAUAAAAAGUGUAGAAAGGAGAGUUGGAGGUGAUGACAAUUUCCCCAGAUGAUCGAAUCUGAUUAUACUGAGCGAAUAGAAUUUCCUCGUAACAGAGGAAAGUCAAGCCAAUUGGAGAAUUGGAGGUGAUGACAAUUUCCCCAGAUGAUCGAAUCUGAUUAUACUGAGCGAUAUUAUAUUUCCUCCCAUCAGAGGAAGUCAAGCCAAUAGUCUGAUCCUUUCUCCUUUGCCAUUUGAAUUACUGUUGAUUUAUUUGUGACGGUUUGAUUAGCUUUUAUUUGUUUAUAUUGAUGGAGGUAUGGAGGUGAUGACAAUUUCCCCAAAUGAUCGAAUCUGAUUAUACUAAGCGAUUAUUAUUUGCUCUCAUCAGAGGCAAUCAAGCCAAUGUUCUGAUCCUUCCUCCUUAAUGUUUUGUUAUAAUUCUUGGUUUUGUAGUAUAUAAUGUGAUUCUAUAAAAAAUUUGCGAUGGAAAUGUUAGAUAAAUUUAAACACAUUGUAGUGGUACUUUAUAGUUAAAGGAGAUGUGGAGGUGAUGACAAUUUCCCCAAAUGAUCGAUUCUGAUUAUGCUAAGCGAUUAUUUAUUUCCUCUCAUCAGAGGAAGUCAAGCCAAUGUUCUGAUCCUUCUCCUUUACUUUAUGAAACUUCGAUUAUGUGUUUAUCUUUUUUUGGAUGUCUACCCAUGGAAUUUACCUGCUAAGAUGUAGAUGACAUUUGAUGAAUAUGUGAUCUCUCACUGA